CCUACGGGAGGCAGCAGUGGGGAAUAUUGGUCAAUGGCCGGGAGGCUGAACCAGCCACGUCGCGUGAGGGAAGACGGCCCUACGGGUUGUAAACCUCUUUUGUCAGGGAGCAAGGUGCAGGUCGGGACCUGCGGUGAGAGUACCUGAAGAAAAAGCCUCGGCUAACUCCGUGCCAGCAGCAGCGGUAAUACGGGGGAUUCGAGCGUUGUCCGGAAUUACUGGGUGUAAAGGGAGCGCAGGCGGGAAGCCAAGUCAGCUGUGAAAACUACGGGCUUAACUUGUAGACUGCAGUUGAAACUGGUUUUCUUGAGUGAAGUAGAGGUUGGCGGAAUUCCGAGUGUAGCGGUGAAAUGCGUAGAUAUUCGGAGGAACACCGGUGGCGAAGGCGGCCAACUGGGCUUUAACUGACGCUGAGGCUCGAAAGUGUGGGGAGCAAACAGGAUUAGAUACCCCAGUAGUC
This 460-nucleotide ribosomal RNA is filed under the name uncultured bacterium. RNAcentral describes it as "partial 16S ribosomal RNA". It matches the Rfam family "Bacterial small subunit ribosomal RNA", at positions 338 to 795 of the family's 1533-position model. The record is from RNAcentral.